CCUACGGGUGGCAGCAGUGGGGAAUCUUGCACAAUGGACGAAAGUCUGAUGCAGCAAUUUCGCGUGAAGGAUGAAGCAUUACGGUGUGUAAACUUCUUUUUUGGAGGAAGACGAAUGACGGUACUUCAAGAAUAAGAGACGGCUAACUACGUGCCAGCAGCCGCGGUAAUACGUAGGUCUCAAGCGUUAUCCGGAUUUACUGGGCGUAAAGUGUCCGUAGUCUGAUCUGUAAGUCUGUUUUCAAAUCCUACGACUCAAUCGUAGAAAGGGAGUGGAUACUGCAGAUCUAGAAGUAUCUAGGGGUUAGUGGAAUUUCCGGUGGAGCGGUGAAAUGCGUUGAUAUCGGAAGGAACGCCGAAAGCGAAAGCAGCUAACUAUAGAAUACUUGACGAUGAGGGACGACAGUUUGGGGAGCAAACAGGAUUAGAUACCCUAGUAGU
Molecule: ribosomal RNA, 440 nt
Filed under: uncultured bacterium
Lineage: Bacteria
Description: bacterial SSU rRNA
Rfam family: Bacterial small subunit ribosomal RNA
Source: RNAcentral